This 649-nucleotide unclassified non-coding RNA is filed under the name Hevea brasiliensis (rubber tree). Lineage: Eukaryota; Viridiplantae; Streptophyta; Magnoliopsida; Malpighiales; Euphorbiaceae. The record is from RNAcentral.
CUUGGCAGGUUUGCUAUCUUCAUUAAUCAGAGAUUUCCAAUGAGAAGGAAUGGUCAGGAAAUUAAGAUAUGGAUUAAUGUGCCCCAACUGCCAAAAUGAUCACUAAUCUACCAUACAUCCACUGUAAUUUCCCAAGUUGCCAAUCUAUAAAUAUGACUUAAUUAUUAUAACUACAUAAAAGUAUACUACCUUCCAAACUCCAUAAGAACCUUUUUCUAAAAAGUUUGUCACCUUUGUUAAGAUCAAUAUCCAUAAACCAAAGGCCUUUGAUUAACAUUUUUAUCGUAUGACAGAUGGUCCAAACAUAUCUCAAGAACUGUAAUAACCACAUACGUCCUUGUUACCAUUAGUCACUUCUGGAAGUAGUCCAAAAUUACAGUGAGAGGAGCUUUAGACAUAACAAUGAUGUCAUGCCAAUCAUCCUACAUCACAAGGAUAUAACAGCAUCAUGCAUUACAGUGGACCCCAGCAAUCACAUAAGAUUAAAUCUGACUACUCAUCAUGGAAUCAUAUAACGGCCGUUACGUUAUGUUAUUUAUAGGGUUUAAAGGAGGCUGUUACCCUUUAGGCCGUUAUUUAAGGGCCUAUUUUGAUUUGUAGAAUAACGGCCGUUACCAUUAUUAAAUAAUGGUAACGGCCGUUACCAAUG